AGCAGUCGCCACGGUAAUACGUAGGUCCCGAGCGUUGUCCGGAUUUAUUGGGCGUAAAGCGAGCGCAGGCGGUUAGAUAAGUCUGAAGUUAAAGGCUGUGGCUUAACCAUAGUACGCUUUGGAAACUGUUUAACUUGAGUGCAAGAGGGGAGAGUGGAACUCCAUGUGUAGCGGUGAAAUGCGUAGAUAUAUGGAGGAACACCGGUGGCGAAAGCGGCUCUCUGGCUUGUAACUGACGCUGAGGCUCGAAAGCGUGGGGAGCAAACAGGAUUAGAUACCCGGGUAGUCCCUGUCUCUUAUACA
This 303-nucleotide ribosomal RNA is filed under the name uncultured bacterium. RNAcentral's name for it is "partial 16S ribosomal RNA". It matches the Rfam family "Bacterial small subunit ribosomal RNA", at positions 507 to 808 of the family's 1533-position model. The record is from RNAcentral.